This 468-nucleotide ribosomal RNA is filed under the name uncultured bacterium. RNAcentral's name for it is "partial 16S ribosomal RNA". It matches the Rfam family "Bacterial small subunit ribosomal RNA", at positions 28 to 507 of the family's 1533-position model. The record is from RNAcentral.
GACGAACGCUGGCGGCGUGCUUAACACAUGCAAGUCGAACGGAAAGGCCCUGCUUUUGUGGGGUGCUCGAGUGGCGAACGGGUGAGUAACACGUGAGUAACCUGCCCUUGACUUUGGGAUAACUUCAGGAAACUGGGGCUAAUACCAGAUAGGAGCUCCUGCUGCAUGGUGGGGGUCGGAAAGUUUCGGCGGUUGGGGAUGGACUCGCGGCUUAUCAGCUUGUUGGUGGGGUAGUGGCUUACCAAGGCUUUGACGGGUAGCCGGCCUGAGAGGGUGACCGGCCACAUUGGGACUGAGAUACGGCCCAGACUCCUACGGGAGGCAGCGGUGGGGAGUGUUGCACAAUGGGCGGAAGCCUGAUGCAGCAACGCCGCGUGCGGGAUGACGGCCUUCGGGUUGUAAACCGCUUUCGCCUGUGACGAAGCGUGAGUGACGGUAAUGGGUAAAGAAGCACCGGCUAACUACGUG